This 497-nucleotide ribosomal RNA is filed under the name uncultured bacterium. Its description in RNAcentral is "partial 16S ribosomal RNA". It matches the Rfam family "Bacterial small subunit ribosomal RNA", at positions 28 to 507 of the family's 1533-position model. The record is from RNAcentral.
GAUGAACGCUGGCGGCGUGCCUAAUACAUGCAAGUCGAACGAAAGGGCGCAAAGCUUGCUUCUCUGUCGUUAGCGGAACACGGGUGAGUAACACGUGGGUACCCUCCCUCUCAGACUGGUAUACCUGCGGGAAACCGUCUCUAAUCGCGGAUAAUAUUUUGAUCCGCAUUGUUCAGGAGAGAAAGACCGUCUUGCUGUGACUUAUAGGUGUAUCCGCUCUGCAUUAGGUAGUUGGUGAGGUAACGGCUUACCAAGGCGACGAUGCAUGGCCGAGGUGAGCGGGUGAUGGGCCACACUGGAACUGAGACACGGUCCAGACUCCGACGGGAGGCAGCAGUAGGGAAUCGUCGGAGAUGUGGGAAAUCCUGACGGAGCAACGCCGGGUGAGUGAAGAAGGUCUGCGUAUCGGAAAACGCUGUUAGUAGGGAAGAACAUAUGUGUAAGUAACUGUGCACAUCGUGACGGUACCUAAUCAGAAAGCCACGGCUAACUACGUG